GACGAACGCUGGCGGCGUGCCUAAUACAUGCAAGUCGAGCGCAGGAAACUGACGGAACUCUUCGGAGGGAAGGCAGCGGAAUGAGCGGCGGACGGGUGAGUAACACGUAAGGAACCUGCCUCAAGGAUUGGGAUAACUCCGAGAAAUCGGAGCUAAUACCGGAUAGUUCAACGGACCGCAUGGUCCGUUGAUGAAAGGCGCUUCGGCGUCACCUUGAGAUGGCCUUGCGGUGCAUUAGCUCGUUGGUGGGGUAACGGCCCACCAAGGCGACGAUGCAUAGCCGACCUGAGAGGGUGAUCGGCCACACUGGGACUGAGACACGGCCCAGACUCCUACGGGAGGCAGCAGUAGGGAAUCUUCCACAAUGGACGAAAGUCUGAUGGAGCAACGCCGCGUGAGUGAUGAAGGUUUUCGGAUCGUAAAACUCUGUUGUAAGGGAAGAACACGUACGAGAGGGAAUGCUCGUACCUUGACGGUACCUUACGAGAAAGCCACGGCUAACUACGUGCCAGCAGCCGCCGUAA
RNAcentral lists this ribosomal RNA (524 nucleotides) under uncultured bacterium. RNAcentral's name for it is "partial 16S ribosomal RNA". It matches the Rfam family "Bacterial small subunit ribosomal RNA", at positions 28 to 523 of the family's 1533-position model. The record is from RNAcentral.